GGUAGUCCACGCCCUAAACGAUGUCAACUAGCUGUUGGGGCCUUCGGGCCUUGGUAGCGCAGCUAACGCGUGAAGUUGACCGCCUGGGGAGUACGGUCGCAAGAUUAAAACUCAAAGGAAUUGACGGGGACCCGCACAAGCGGUGGAUGAUGUGGAUUAAUUCGAUGCAACGCGAAAAACCUUACCUACCCUUGACAUGUCUGGAAUCCCAAAGAGAUUAGGGAGUGCUCGCAAGAGAACCGGAACACAGGUGCUGCAUGGCUGUCGUCAGCUCGUGUCGUGAGAUGUUGGGUUAAGUCCCGCAACGAGCGCAACCCUUGUCAUUAGUUGCUACGAAAGGGCACUCUAAUGAGACUGCCGGUGACAAACCGGAGGAAGGUGGGGAUGACGUCAAGUCCUCAUGGCCCUUAUGGGUAGGGCUUCACACGUCAUACAAUGGUCGGGACAGAGGGUCGCCAACCCGCGAGGGGGAGCCAAUCCCAGAAACCCGAUCGUAGUCCGGAUCGUAGUCUGCAACUCGACUACGUGAAGUCAGAAUCGCUAGUAAUCGCGGAUCAGAAUGUCGCGGUGAAUACGUUCCCGGGUCUUGUACACACCGCCCGUCACACCAUGGGAGUGGGUUCCACCAGAAGUAGUUAGCCUAACCGCAAGGAGGGCGAUUACCACGGUGGGGUUCAUGACUGGGGUGAAGUCGUAACAAGGUAGCCGUAUCGGAAGGUGC
This 721-nucleotide ribosomal RNA is filed under the name uncultured bacterium. RNAcentral's name for it is "bacterial SSU rRNA". It matches the Rfam family "Bacterial small subunit ribosomal RNA", at positions 789 to 1515 of the family's 1533-position model. The record is from RNAcentral.